Molecule: small nucleolar RNA, 63 nt
Filed under: Sorex araneus (European shrew)
Lineage: Eukaryota; Metazoa; Chordata; Mammalia; Eulipotyphla; Soricidae
Description: Small nucleolar RNA SNORD48 (ENSSARG00000015602.1)
Rfam family: Small nucleolar RNA SNORD48
About the family: U48 belongs to the C/D class of snoRNA which contain the C (UGAUGA) and D (CUGA) box motifs.
Source: RNAcentral
GGUGAUGAUGAGCCCUGGUGAUUCUUGAGUGUCUUGCUGAGGCCAUCACUGCAGUAUCUGAUC